This 468-nucleotide ribosomal RNA is filed under the name uncultured bacterium. Its description in RNAcentral is "partial 16S ribosomal RNA". It matches the Rfam family "Bacterial small subunit ribosomal RNA", at positions 28 to 507 of the family's 1533-position model. The record is from RNAcentral.
GACGAACGCUGGCGGCGUGCUUAACACAUGCAAGUCGAACGGAAAGGCCCUGCUUUUGUGGGGUGCUCGAGUGGCGAACGGGUGAGUAACACGUGAGUAACCUGCCCUUGACUUUGGGAUAACUUCAGGAAACUGGGGCUAAUACCGGCUAGGAGCUCCUGCUGCAUGGUGGGGGUUGGAAAGUUUCGGCGGUUGGGGAUGGACUCGCGGCUUAUCAGCUUGUUGGUGGGGUAGUGGCUUACCAAGGCUUUGACGGGUAGCCGGCCUGAGAGGGUGACCGGCCACAUUGGGACUGAGAUACGGGCCAGAAUCCUACGGGAGGCAGCAGUGGGGAAUAUUGCACAAUGGGCGGAAGCCUGAUGCAGCAACGCCGCGUGCGGGAUGACGGCCUUCGGGUUGUAAACCGCGUUCGCCUGUGACGAAGCGGGAGUGACGGUAAUGGGUAAAGAAGCACCGGCUAACUACGUG